GAUGAACGCUAGCGGCAGGCUUAAUACAUGCAAGUCGAGGGGUAACAUGACUACUUGUAGUUGAUGACGACCGGCGCACGGGUGCGUAACGCGUAUGCAACCUACCUAUAACAGAGGGAUAGCCUAGAGAAAUUUGGAUUAAUACCUCAUAGUAUGUUAAAGUGGCAUCACUUAGACAUUAAAGAUUUAUUGGUUAUAGAUGGGCAUGCGUGUGAUUAGCUAGUUGGUAAGGUAAAGGCUUACCAAGGCGACGAUCACUAGGGGUUCUGAGAGGAAGAUCCCCCACACUGGCACUGAGAUACGGGCCAGACUCCUACGGGAGGCAGCAGUAGGGAAUAUUGGUCAAUGGGCGAGAUGCCUGAACCAGCCAUGCCGCGUGCAGGAAGACGGCUUUCUGAGUUGUAAACUGCUUUUAUAUGCGAGGAAAGCUCUUACGAGUAAGAGAAGUGACGUUAGCAUACGAAUAAGGACCGGCUAACUCCG
This 483-nucleotide ribosomal RNA is filed under the name uncultured Cytophagales bacterium. RNAcentral describes it as "bacterial SSU rRNA". It matches the Rfam family "Bacterial small subunit ribosomal RNA", at positions 28 to 505 of the family's 1533-position model. Lineage: Bacteria; Pseudomonadati; Bacteroidota; Sphingobacteriia; Sphingobacteriales. The record is from RNAcentral.